UACAGAGGGGGCAAGCGUUGUUCGGAAUUACUGGGCGUAAAGGGCGCGUAGGCGGUCCUGAUCGUCGGAUGUGAAAGGCCUGGGCUCAACCUGGGAACUGCAUCCGAUACGGCGGGACUGGAGUGUGGGAGAGGUUGGUGGAAUUCCCAGUGUAGAGGUGAAAUUCGUAGAUAUUGGGAAGAACACCGGUGGCGAAGGCGGCCAACUGGACCACAACUGACGCUGAGGCGCGAAAGCGUGGGGAGCAAACAGG
This 253-nucleotide ribosomal RNA is filed under the name uncultured bacterium. Its description in RNAcentral is "partial 16S ribosomal RNA". It matches the Rfam family "Bacterial small subunit ribosomal RNA", at positions 524 to 776 of the family's 1533-position model. The record is from RNAcentral.